This 393-nucleotide ribosomal RNA is filed under the name uncultured bacterium. RNAcentral's name for it is "partial 16S ribosomal RNA". It matches the Rfam family "Bacterial small subunit ribosomal RNA", at positions 360 to 771 of the family's 1533-position model. The record is from RNAcentral.
AAUAUUGCACAAUGGGGGAAACCCUGAUGCAGCGACGCCGCGUGAGCGAAGAAGUCCUCCGGGUCGUAAAGCUCUGUCCUAUGGGAAGAAACGGACGUUACUUUAGGAUGCAGCCCCUGCUAACUACGUGCCAGCAGCCGCGGUAAUACGUAGGGGGCGGGCGUUAUCCGGAAGUAUUGGGCGUAAAGGGGGCGUAGGCGCCCUUUUAAGUCAGAUGUGAAAGGCUACGGCUUAACCGUAGUUAGCAUUUGAAACUAAAAGGCUUGAGUGCAGGAGAGGAGAGUGGAAUUCCUAGUGUAGCGGUGAAAUGCGUAGAUAUUAGGAGGAACACCAGUGGCGAAGGCGACUCUCUGGACUGCAACUGACGCUGAGGCACGAAAGCGUGGGGAGCGA